Molecule: ribosomal RNA, 414 nt
Filed under: uncultured microorganism
Description: bacterial SSU rRNA
Rfam family: Archaeal small subunit ribosomal RNA
Source: RNAcentral
CAGCAGCCGCGGUAAUACCGGCGGCCCGAGUGGCGGUCACUAUUAUUGGGCUUAAAGCGUCCGUAGCCGGGGUGGGAAGUCCUCCGGGAAAUCUGGCCGCUUAACGGUCAGAAUGCCGGAGGAUACUCCCAGCCUAGGGAGCGGGAGAGGCCGAGGGUAUUCCCGGGGUAGGGGUGAAAUCCUAUAAUCCCGGGAGGACCACCUGUGGCGAAGGCGCUCGGCUGGAACGCGUCCGACGGUGAGGGACGAAGGCCAGGGGAGCAAACCGGAUUAGAUACCCGGGUAGUCCUGGCUGUAAACGAUGCGGACUUUGUGUCGGACAAGCUAUGAGCUUGUCCGGUGCCGGAGGGAAACCGUUAAGUCCGCCGCCUGGGGAGUACGGCCGCAAGGCUGAAACUUAAAGGAAUUGGCGGG